AACGAACGCUGGCGGCAGGCUUAACACAUGCGAGUCGAGCGCCUCGCCAGAGGAGCGGCCGACGGGUGGGUACCGCGUGGGGAGGAACCCUUAUCUACGGAAUAGCUCUGGGAAACUGGAAGCAGUACCGAAGGGGCCAUUAGGGGGAAUGAUUUAUCGGAUAAGGAUCGGCCCGCGUUGGAUUAGCUAGUUGGUGGGGUAAAGGCCUACCAAGGCGACGAUCCAUAGCUGGUCUGAGAGGAUGAUCAGCCACAUUGGGACUGAGACACGGCCCAAACUCCUACGGGAGGCAGCAGUGGGGAAUAUUGGACAAUGGGCGCAAGCCUGAUCCAGCCAUGCCGCGUGAGUGAUGAAGGCCUUAGGGUUGUAAAGCUCUUUCACCGGAGAAGAUAAUGACGGUAUCCGGAGAAGAAGCCCCGGCUAACUUCGUG
RNAcentral lists this ribosomal RNA (431 nucleotides) under uncultured bacterium. RNAcentral's name for it is "partial 16S ribosomal RNA". It matches the Rfam family "Bacterial small subunit ribosomal RNA", at positions 29 to 507 of the family's 1533-position model. The record is from RNAcentral.